Molecule: long non-coding RNA, 748 nt
Filed under: Arachis ipaensis
Lineage: Eukaryota; Viridiplantae; Streptophyta; Magnoliopsida; Fabales; Fabaceae
Description: long non-coding RNA (AIPA_LNC001715)
Source: RNAcentral
UGAAUAUAUGUAGCCGCAACUGUGCGCUCGGUUGACAAAUGGAGCCGCAGUAGUCAGGGAUUUUUUUUUGGACUAAAAGGCAUGGGUCUUUGUUUUUUUUGACAAGCAUAGAGAUUGAUUGGGCUUUGUGAGAUUUAAGUAUUGAUGGUUGUUUCACUAUUUUAUUUCAUGGAAACAAAAUCAGGUCUUUACAAGUUUCAACACCUUCAUUUAUGCUACUGUUGAACCACAACAAAAAUUACCCAAUUCAACUACGACAUGUCAUUACACAAAUUAAACAUUCACCCACCAAUUCAAGACACAGGAUUGACAAUCGGAACUAAGUAACGAAGACUUCCACAUAGGACCCUCACUUGGAUCGGAACCACCUGAUGGCCGGAGUACCUGACCUAUUGAACUGACGGUGGAGGCCACAAGACAGCAACGACCAACACCCAAACGAUGCCUUGCUGGAUUUCUCGAAUGCCGCCUGACAGGAAAUCGACCGCAGGAAGGGAGCGACUGACCAUCCGACGCUGACGACCUACCUCGCCCACUUUCACUCGACCGCGGCGAAUGACAACCUUCACUGACGAGCGGGGGAUCACGCCGUCAGAAGAAGCAAUCUGUUGGAGCCACCAAUAGCCGCAUGCGACACUGAUAGCCGCCGACAUAGACGUCACAUACGUUCUGGGAGCCAGUGUCAAGUAAGACACAAACGCAACUGAGAGACGCUGGGGGGUGAGGCCAGCAACGUCACCUUCGGAAC